This 442-nucleotide ribosomal RNA is filed under the name uncultured bacterium. RNAcentral's name for it is "partial 16S ribosomal RNA". It matches the Rfam family "Bacterial small subunit ribosomal RNA", at positions 338 to 795 of the family's 1533-position model. The record is from RNAcentral.
CCUACGGGAGGCUGCAGUGGGGAAUAUUGGGCAAUGGGCGCAAGCCUGACCCAGCAACGCCGCGUGAAGGAAGAAGGCUUUCGGGUUGUAAACUUCUUUUAAGGGGGAAGCGCAGAAGACAGUACCCCUUGAAUAAGCCACGGCUAACUACGGGCCAGCAGCCGCGGUCAUACGUAGGUGGCAAGCGUUGUCCGGAUUUACUGGGUGUAAAGGGCGUGCAGGCGGGGAGACAAGUCAGAUGUGAAAUCCACGGGCUCAACCCGUGAACUGCAUUUGACACUGUUUCCCUUGAGUGUCAGAGAGGUAAUCGGAAUGCCUGGUGUAGCGGUGAAAUGCGUAGAUAUAGGGAAGAACACCAGUGGCGAAGGCAGAUUACUGGACGAUAACUGACGGUGAGGCGCGAAAGCGUGGGGAGCAAACAGGAUUAGAUACCCGUGUAGUC